RNAcentral lists this transfer-messenger RNA (346 nucleotides) under Christensenellaceae bacterium. It matches the Rfam family "transfer-messenger RNA". From Rfam's summary of the family: Bacterial tmRNA, also known as 10Sa RNA or SsrA, is named for its dual tRNA and mRNA-like properties. Its role is to liberate the mRNA from a stalled ribosome. The record is from RNAcentral. Lineage: Bacteria; Bacillati; Bacillota; Clostridia; Christensenellales; Christensenellaceae.
GGGGAUGCUCCGGAUUCGACCGGUAGCAGGACUUGAAAGAUCACGUGUCGAAGGCUCGUCUUCGUAAAAACGGAAAACUAAAAAUUAAAUCGUGUUAAUAACAAUUUAGAGCUCGCUGCCGCUUAAGGUGGUCGUCAGAGUCGUAACCUAUGGACGACAAUUCUGGCGUGGUUAAUAGGGUAACGCGUGCAUCAGGUGCUCUGAGAUGCAAACGGGAUUAGGAGCUUGGUUGAGUUAGAGCCUGCGAACUGGCGAUAACAAAACGACAAUAAAAGAUUCGAUACACACGUAAACGUCUUUUGGAUUUUCUAUCGACACAGGGGUUCGACUCCCCUCAUCUCCACCA